CAGCCGCCGCGGGAACACGUAGGGUGCGAGCGUUAAUCGGAAUUACUGGGCGUAAAGCGUGCGCAGGCGGUUCGUUAAGACAGAUGUGAAAUCCCCGGGCUUAACCUGGGAACUGCAUUUGUGACUGGCGAGCUAGAGUAUGGCAGAGGGGGGUAGAAUUCCACGUGUAGCAGUGAAAUGCGUAGAGAUGUGGAGGAAUACCGAUGGCGAAGGCAGCCCCCGGGGCCAAUACCGACGCUCAUGCACGAAAGCGUGGGGAGCAAACAGGAUUAGAUACCCCAGUAGUCCCUGUCUCUUAUAC
Molecule: ribosomal RNA, 301 nt
Filed under: uncultured bacterium
Lineage: Bacteria
Description: partial 16S ribosomal RNA
Rfam family: Bacterial small subunit ribosomal RNA
Source: RNAcentral